UAAGCAAAACAUGAAAUCACAAGGCUCAACCUUGUGGCUGUGUUUUGAACUGGAGAACUAGAGAAUGGUAGAGGUAACUGGAAUUCCUAGUGUAGGAGUGAUAUCCGUAGAUAUUAGGAGGAACACCAAUGGCGAAGGCAGGUUACUGGGCCAUUUCUGACACUGAGGCUCGAAAGCGUGGGGAGCAAACGGGAUUAGAUACCCCGGUAGUCCACGCCGUAAACUAUGAAUGCUA
This 235-nucleotide ribosomal RNA is filed under the name uncultured Candidatus Saccharibacteria bacterium. RNAcentral describes it as "partial 16S ribosomal RNA". It matches the Rfam family "Bacterial small subunit ribosomal RNA", at positions 584 to 818 of the family's 1533-position model. Lineage: Bacteria; Candidatus Saccharimonadota. The record is from RNAcentral.